UUAAGUGACGAUAGCCUAGGAGAUACACCUGUACCCAUGCCGAACACAGAAGUUAAGCCCUAGAACGCCGGAAGUAGUUGGGGGUUGCCCCCUGUGAGAUAUGGUAGCCGCUUAGC
RNAcentral lists this ribosomal RNA (116 nucleotides) under Streptococcus anginosus. Lineage: Bacteria; Bacillati; Bacillota; Bacilli; Lactobacillales; Streptococcaceae. The record is from RNAcentral. RNAcentral also lists the same sequence under 2 other names.